Molecule: unclassified non-coding RNA, 5720 nt
Filed under: Leishmania donovani
Lineage: Eukaryota; Euglenozoa; Kinetoplastea; Trypanosomatida; Trypanosomatidae
Description: gene:LdHU3.31.3080(CDS-product:hypothetical_prote in_conserved)
Source: RNAcentral
CCCACAGGCGACAGACACGCCCCGCCCCCGCCCCCUUACGCACCCCUCAUCUCCUCCUUUCCGCUCUACCACCUCUACCGACCCAAACAUACUCGAACCGUAGUCUUUCUUGGGCAGGGCUGUCUCGUCGCUUUUCUUUGCUGCUCCCCUCUGUCCGUGUGUGGUCUGUCCCGGGGUGCAAUUAUUUCCCACCCUCUUUUCUUGCAAAGGGAGGGGGUCUCUCCGCACCCACUGCGCAUGCCGGGGAACUUGGCACAUCCCUUGUAAUGCGUGUCCCCACCCCCCCUCGCGCUGGCCUACCCACCAGCCCCCAGCAGCGCGCUCAUCGACUUCUAUGAGUCCCCGCUGGCGACACGCGCUGCUUUGCCUCUCACUCUCUCUCCCCUCACCUCUUUUCGUUGCUGGCGCAUACUCCCUCCUCUCACCCGUCUCCCUGCCCCCGCCUAGCUUGACUUCUCUCAUCAGCUGUCCUCUCCACCACGACCACUCUGAGGGCGGUCAAGUAGGUGGCUGCCGUUUUCGCCCUCUGCCGUCUUUUGUCUCCACACGCCUUCUGCAGAACGCCGUGCCUCUCCCCACCCCCGUGCCUCCCCCCGCCUUUGUACACUAGCGCUGUCUGUCGUCGAGGAGUCGGAACACGUCAGCUCAGCCUUGCACUUCUCACUCGCUACGCACCCCAUUCCCAUCUAUGUCACUGUUCUCUUCGACUCCGACACCGGAAGACACCAAUCCCCCACCAUCUAAUGCCACGCUUCUCACAAGCAGCACGAGCACCGCACAACCGCAGGCCCAUCUAUGCUACUAUUAUCACCAGCACUAUUCGCACGCGCCUCACAUCCUGCCACUAAGGCAUCCUGGGUCACUGGAGCAACGGGAUGUCGGUGAUGGCUCCCUCCAGUUACCGCGAGAGGCGGCGGCGCCGGGGCGGUCUGUCGCGUCACCGAUCGCCCCCUCCCCACCGCAGCGGCUCCUCCGCGUACAUCAGCCGGUCGUGUACGCACCCUGGGACAUGAUGCCGCAGCCCACCGACGGCGCACCUGCCCACCAGCUCCACGCCAUCCCCGGCGCACCGGUCGGCCCCACGCCAGCCACGGUUAUCGCACAGGGCGCGCCCGCCAUCUCCCUCGAUCUUCCGGUCCCGCCGAGCCCCGACAAGCAGGUGCGCACCUACUACGCGCUCGUCUUAUUUGUGCUCAUGGCGGCCAUGGGGCUACUGCUCGGCUCCUUCUUCACGCCGAUCUGCACAGCGUGCUUGAACUUCACACGAAGCGUCACGGAUGUACAAGACCCGGCAGUCUACAAGCGCAGCAUCGAGGGGAGCCGCGGCAUGCAGAUCAGCGCGUAUGCGGCGUUUUCUCCCUGCACCGUGUUCAAGAGGCACGCGUGCGACACGAUCACCGCGGACCAGGUGUCCGGGUGGAUGCGGUCCAUCACCAACGGCAUGCAGGCGCCGUUCCCUGAUCUGUUCUCGUACAGCGGCAUUGACCGGGCCCGCGUGAGCUCCUGCUCGUACAUUCGUCUACCAGCAGCAACAACACACCCGGUGCCUCAGCUGCAGAACACCGCGGCCCCCGUGGUAAUCGGCUGGCGCGCCUUCCGGAGCGACUGUGGCCCAACGCCUCCUGCUUUGCCUCUCCACACGCGUCACGGCUGGAGAAGCGGAGGCAGUGGCCUGGGCAACGUCUCGACAAGUCUGCGCGCUCAUGAAAGAGAGCCACACUCUCAUCCCCCUCUUGCUGCUCCUGGGCAGGGCGAUGCUCCUGGCCACAACGAUCCUACGCACGCACGCCCCGCUGCUGGCGCGCCGCAUGGCGGCAAUGCGAGCCACGUUCGUAUCGUCCUCCACAGCUCUCUCCCUCAGGGGGCAAAAGCCGCCUUCACCCUCACAUGCGACAGCGACACUGACACGGUUCCUAUGCUGAACCUCACGACCAUCUACAAUGCCGACGUCUCCGCAUACCUUUCAGACGGCACUAACGCAAGCAGCUCGAAAAUGGUGUCCGCCGCAGACCUUAUUACGAGGGCGGACCCUAAAAAUGUGGUGCGCGAGUACCAACCCGUCAUGCGCACCUGCGCCGAGUAUCUCGCGGCGUGCGCGACUAUCGAGCCUGGGUACUACGUUGUGAUAGCCCCCGCCAGCCCACUGCACAGGUGCGGGCAAGAAGCCAUCAGUCCACCCAGUAGCCCUUCCCGAAGCUCCGCCACCGCUGCGAAAGUACUCAUAUGCGGCAUCACCGUCUACGAGCCUACCGCAUACGCAGCAGGUGCUAUGCGCUUCAUCGCGAGGGCACAUCUAGCCAUGAACAUGGUUGUGUACCCGUCCAAUGUUCGCUUCCCCAGCAGCGCAGCAGGGGCGCCGGUGUGCCUCACGCCAUCUGCGAUUCUUCUCGUGUUCGCCGAGGCCUUCAUGCUGCUUACCAUCGUCCUCACAGCGGUCACGGUAGGCAUGGCUCCUGUGCAGCGCGCCAAGCUCCGCCAGCUCCGCGCCGCGCUAGAUGUGGACGCUUCCGUGGCGAUGGAAAUCCUGUACCGCGCUCAGGGGGCCGUGGCGGCGGGCAUGCCGCUCACAGCGGCACCAGCACCCGCAGCGCCCCGCGCACCUCACGAACCUGGCGCCGAAGCUGGCCACGCCACCGACGAGCCCGCCGCCGCCACAGCGGACGACGCAUCCCCGAUGUCGUUCACCUCCGCGUCCACGGCGCCGCCACGGCCGCACAUGCAGACGUCGCAGCAGCAGCCAUCGGAGGCGCACACGCCCCAGUCAGAGUUGUCGGGCACCGCCGCUGCCAUGCUGCUUGUGCCGCCAUACUACCAGCCCGGCGGGAUGACGGUGCCGGGGGCGAGUGGCAGUGGCAGCAUGGGUGUACCCGGCAUUAUGGCGGGCCUCCACCCGUCGCCGUACAGCGAGGGAUACUACCUCGAGCCGGAGCACGGCCCGAGAAAUGCAGCAGCACCCCGCCGCGACGCAGCCGACGGCGUGGUCCCACCUGCCGGCGCGGCACACACAUUGCCGGCCGCAGCGGCGGCACGGCACGGUGAGAGGGACCGCAGCACCACCACGCGUGGCGUGUCGUACACGGCGUCUCCCGGCACGAGUCUGGUCGCGCAGGAGAGGAGCGUGGUGUGCAGCAGCAGCGGCGUGCGAGAUGUGUCCGUGCGGAAUGUUACCCUGCACCGCAUCGGCCGGCGUCGGCAGCGGCAGCGUGGCACAGCCGGCGUCGGCAGCGACGAGGACCAGGACGCCGGCGGCGGCGGUGCUGGCAGCGGCAUUGGCUGUGCGGUGGCGCCAACGUGGGUGCCGGCGGCGCCCGGCGCUUUGCCCGCCAGAGGCCACCAACCGGAGCUGCUCGCGGGCCAGGCGCACGCCGCUGAUGCGGUGUCGCCGCCGGCGCUGAUGUCGCUAGAGCACCCGGAGCCGCUGAUGCCGGUGUCGGAGGCGACGGGCUGGAUGUUCGGGCGGAGCCGACACAUCGCGAGCCAGAGCAUGCUGGAGGAGAGCUCUUCCUCGGCGCGCACCGCGGAGGAGCGGAAUGCGGCGGGUGCGUCGAUGCCCGGCAACUGGCCUGGCAGCGACACUGAAAGCAGGCUGGGCAGCGACGACAGACUGCCUUUAGCCAGCUACGUGCUGCCGGAGAACUCGCCCGGCGAGCGCACCAUCCAGCUCUUUCUGCUGCGCGCUCGAAAGUCCUACACGCGUCUGCGCCGCAAGCAGGUGCGUGUUCUAGCCAAGCUGUUGUUUUAUGCGAAGGCAGCGGCGUUCACGGCGCUGGUGUUUGCGCUGGUGUGCACUGGGUUGCAGUUGUCUGGUGUAUCAGCGAGAGGCAGGGAGGGUCUACAGUUUCGCGGUGGUGACACUCUGUCCGACGACUAUGUGCUGAAUGCUAGUCAUGUGGCGCUCAUGUCACUCUCCCUUGCGUGCGUGGUUGUGGUCGUGGUGCUAGAUUUUGUUGUUGAGCGAAAACGGCUGUGGUAGAGGAUAAGCCGGCAUGUUCAGGUCGCUCUUGUCCCGUAGCCCGUGUUUCGCUCGCUCGCUCGCUCUCUCUCUGGUUUGGCACACAGUUGAUUUUUCCCUGGUAGCCCCUGUGUGUGUGGCCCUUUUCUCCCAAAGGCUGAUUGCGAUUCCCGAUGAAGCUGCCAUUUGUCCCAGGGUCAUGCACCACCGCUUCCUCACGAAGGGUUCGAGGUGGGAGUCCAAUGGUAGAUGGGGCCCACCCACCCCCUCAUGGCACUCCAGCCUAGAAUCAUCUUUUCCAGGUUUGUCUGCAUUCUUCUUGUGCGUGCCUUUUCGGCACUUUGCCCUCCAGCCUCGUGUGGCGAACCGUCUAACACCCCUUUCGCGCCCGUCCCCACCACCACGUUUAUGCAUGCACGCACGCUCCCUGUUCGUUCUCUCUGUGUGUCUGUGUGUAUGGUAAGCAACUGUAGCUGUCUCACUCUCUCCUAGUGUUCGCUCUGCUCCCCCUCCCCUCCUCCCCUUUUAUUUUGUACUCCCGCCGCCUUUCCUUGUGACUCGCAUUUCCAUGAGAGAUUUCAAGCGUAAAACGCGCAGACGCCGACGCACACACGCACACGUACGAGAGCAGAUGCUGAUGUGUAGACGCCUGUUUUAUGCAUGCAUACAGCAGGUGACGGCACCUGGAGAUUGGUUCAUUUUUCUUUUUGGGGAGGGGUGCGUGCGUGCGCGUGUAUGUGUGUUUUCCCGAUCUCUUCGGCAACAAAUAUAUGUUUGUGCAUGCUCCCUCGUCUCCGUGUUUCCUCUCGUUUUGCCGCCUUCGCCUCAAUGCGUGUGAAUGGGCGCCUGUCCGUGGGAACGCGUGGCAGAGAGAGAGGAAAAGAGAGCGAGCAGGCGAACGAGUCUGAGAGCUGUGCUCUCUCUUGGAGAUUUCCAUUAUGCACCCAUCAAUUCAAUGGUGUCCAAUGUGCUCCCCCAUCCCCCUCGCCCCCUCCCAGGCACACACACACAGGGUUUUCCACCGGUGUCUCCAUAUCUAUUUCUUAUUUUUCCAGCGUUAGGGCACCUGUGGUGCGCGUCUACAUCCACAGCUGCUUGCAUUCGUGUGCGCAUGCGUGUGUUUUUCUUGAAUGCUUCCACGCUUCGGCUGCCUAUUUUUUAGUAUUUUUUUUCACGUUAGCGUUUUCAUUUCAAUGUAUGUGUGCGAGAUCUCUUUCAUUUUUGUUGAUUUUUUUUGCUCCGCGUCUCUCAUUCUCCCUCUGGUUCAUGCAUAUGUAUGCAUGGGUGUAUAUAUAUAUAUAUUUGUGUGUGAGCUGCUCACACACGAGUGACACACAAGCACCACCGUCACCUUAGCCGAAGCCUCUCUUGCCAAUCUCUACCAUUGCGUUGUCCUCCAUCUUUUCUGUGUGGGUGUUGGCAUACGCACACAUGUAUAUACAUAUAUAUAUAUAUAUGGCUUCUUCCUUCCUCGUGCUAGUGCAUUCUGUAACGCUAAACUCACCCUCAUUCUCUCUUCAUUGGCAUUCUUUUUUGUGGUUGUUUUUCGUUCGUGCCGGCGUCCUCUGUGUUGGGCGCGUGUGCAUGUCUGUCGGUCAAUGUCUGUCCAUGUCUGUGUGUGUGUGUGUGUGUGCCUUCGAUACCGUAGUUUAGCCUUUUUCUUUUUUACACCUUUUCCUCUCCGGUGUUUUGCGCGUCGUUUUUCCUGCACUCCCCCAUAACGUACGAGAACCUUUUCUCGACGUGCUCAUCUCCUUCAGGCACAUCU